This 452-nucleotide unclassified non-coding RNA is filed under the name Hevea brasiliensis (rubber tree). Lineage: Eukaryota; Viridiplantae; Streptophyta; Magnoliopsida; Malpighiales; Euphorbiaceae. The record is from RNAcentral.
GCUCUUGAAGAGUUGGUAUACACUUUUGGUGGUCCAUGGUGGUUCAGUUUUAUUCUCUUGGGUCUUCUUAUCCUGUUAGCUUUAGUGCUUAGUGUUGCACGGAUGAAAUAUGCUGCUGGGGAUGAAUUACCCGCUCUUGUGCCGCCUCAACGUGAAUCUCGAAUAGAUCACUCCUUUCCAUUCCUCGAGUCACUGAAUGAGGUAUUAGAAACAAAUAGAGUUGAAGAAUCCCAGGGUCAUGUGCAUAGGAUGUAUUUUAUGGGUCCAAAUACUUUCAGCGAGCCUUGGCAUCUACCUCACUCUCCUCCUGAACAAGUGAUUGAAAUUGUAUAUGAGGAUGCAUUCAAUAGAUUUGUGGAUGAGGUUAAUCGGUUGGCUGCUUAUCAGUGGUGGGAAGGAUCUGUCUACAGCAUUCUUUCUGUUCUUGCAUGUCCUCUUGCAUGUUCCUGGCU